UCGAACGAUGAAACGCCCUCGGGCGGACAUGAAGUGGCGAACGGGUGAGUAACACGUGACCAACCUGCCCCUUGCUCCGGGACAACCUUGGGAAACCGAGGCUAAUACCGGAUACUCCUCGCCCCCCUCCCUGGGGGGCCCGGGAAAGCCCAGACGGCAAGGGAUGGGGUCGCGGCCCAUUAGGUAGUAGGCGGGGUAACGGCCCACCUAGCCCGCGAUGGGUAGCCGGGUUGAGAGACCGACCGGCCACAUUGGGACUGAGAUACGGCCCAGACUCCUACGGGAGGCAGCAUG
Molecule: ribosomal RNA, 294 nt
Filed under: uncultured bacterium
Lineage: Bacteria
Description: partial 16S ribosomal RNA
Rfam family: Bacterial small subunit ribosomal RNA
Source: RNAcentral